Molecule: ribosomal RNA, 227 nt
Filed under: uncultured bacterium
Lineage: Bacteria
Description: partial 16S ribosomal RNA
Rfam family: Bacterial small subunit ribosomal RNA
Source: RNAcentral
UGAGUAACACGUAUCCAACCUGCCGUCUACUCUUGGACAGCCUUCUGAAAGGAAGAUUAAUACAAGAUGGCAUCAUGAGUCCGCAUGUUCACAUGAUUAAAGGUAUUCCGGUAGACGAUGGGGAUGCGUUCCAUUAGAUAGUAGGCGGGGUAACGGCCCACCUAGUCUUCGAUGGAUAGGGGUUCUGAGAGGAAGGUCCCCCACAUUGGAACUGAGACACGGACCAA